This 253-nucleotide ribosomal RNA is filed under the name uncultured bacterium. RNAcentral's name for it is "partial 16S ribosomal RNA". It matches the Rfam family "Bacterial small subunit ribosomal RNA", at positions 524 to 776 of the family's 1533-position model. The record is from RNAcentral.
UACGAAGGGGGCAAGCGUUGUUCGGAAUCACUGGGCGUAAAGCGUACGUAGGCGGAUUGUUAAGUCAGGGGUGAAAGCCCGAGGCUCAACCUCGGAACUGCCUUUGAUACUGGCAAUCUUGAGUCCGGGAGAGGUGAGUGGAAUGCCGAGUGUAGAGGUGAAAUUCGUAGAUAUUCGGCGGAACACCAGUGGCGAAGGCGGCUCACUGGCCCGGAACUGACGCUGAGGUACGAAAGCGUGGGGAGCAAACAGG